Molecule: ribosomal RNA, 500 nt
Filed under: uncultured bacterium
Lineage: Bacteria
Description: partial 16S ribosomal RNA
Rfam family: Bacterial small subunit ribosomal RNA
Source: RNAcentral
AUUGAACGCUGGCGGAAUGCUUUACACAUGCAAGUCGAACGGCAGCACGGACUUCGGUCUGGUGGCGAGUGGCGAACGGGUGAGUAAUGUAUCGGAACGUGCCCAGUCGUGGGGGAUAACGUAGUGAAAAUUACGCUAAUACCGCAUACGAUCUAUGGAUGAAAGCGGGGGAUCGCAAGACCUCGCGCGAUUGGAGCGGCCGAUAUCAGAUGAGGUAGUUGGUGGGGUAAAGGCCCACCAAGCCAACGAUCUGUAGCUGGUCUGAGAGGACGACCAGCCACACUGGAACUGAGACACGGUCCAGACUCCUACGGGAGGCAGCAGUGGGGAAUUUUGGACAAUGGGCGAAAGCCUGAUCCAGCCAUUCCGCGUGCAGGAUGAAGGCCCUCGGGUUGUAAACUGCUUUUGUACAGAGCGAAAAGGUUUCUACUAAUACUAGGAGCUCAUGACGGUACUGUAAGAAUAAGCACCGGCUAACUACGUGCCAGCCGCCGCGUAAA